This 2885-nucleotide ribosomal RNA is filed under the name Klebsiella pneumoniae. Its description in RNAcentral is "23S ribosomal RNA". It matches the Rfam family "Bacterial large subunit ribosomal RNA". The record is from RNAcentral. Lineage: Bacteria; Pseudomonadati; Pseudomonadota; Gammaproteobacteria; Enterobacterales; Enterobacteriaceae.
GGUUAAGCGACUAAGCGUACACGGUGGAUGCCCUGGCAGUCAGAGGCGAUGAAGGACGUGCUAAUCUGCGAAAAGCGUCGGUAAGGUGAUAUGAACCGUUAUAACCGGCGAUGUCCGAAUGGGGAAACCCAGUGCAAUUCGUUGCACUAUCGUUAACUGAAUACAUAGGUUAACGAGGCGAACCGGGGAACUGAAACAUCUAAGUACCCCGAGGAAAAGAAAUCAACCGAGAUUCCCCAGUAGCGGCGAGCGAACGGGGAGCAGCCCAGAGUCUGAAUCAGCUUGUGUGUUAGUGGAACGGUCUGGAAAGUCCGACGGUACAGGGUGAUAGUCCCGUACACCAAAAUGCACAGGUUGUGAACUCGAAGAGUAGGGCGGGACACGUGGUAUCCUGUCUGAAUAUGGGGACCAUCCUCCAAGGCUAAAUACUCCUGACUGACCGAUAGUGAACCAGUACCGUGAGGGAAAGGCGAAAAGAACCCCGGCGAGGGAGUGAAAAAGAACCUGAAACCGUGUACGUACAAGCAGUGGGAGCACCUUCGGGUGUGACUGCGUACCUUUGUAUAAUGGGUCAGCGACUUAUAUUCUGUAGCAAGGUUAACCGUAUAGGGAGCCGCAGGAAACCGAGUCUUAACUGGGCGUUAAGUUGCAGGGUAUAGACCCGAAACCCGGUGAUCUAGCCAUGGGCAGGUUGAAGGUUGGGUAACACUAACUGGAGGACCGAACCGACUAAUGUUGAAAAAUUAGCGGAUGACUUGUGGCUGGGGUGAAAGGCCAAUCAAACCGGGAGAUAGCUGGUUCUCCCGAAAGCUAUUUAGGUAGCGCCUCGUGAAUUCAUCUUCGGGGUAGAGCACUGUUUCGGCUAGGGGUCAUCCCGACUUACCAACCCGAUGCAAACUACGAAUACCGAAGAAUGUUAUCACGGGAGACACACGGCGGGUGCUAACGUCCGUCGUGAAGAGGGAAACAACCCAGACCGCCAGCUAAGGUCCCAAAGUCAUGGUUAAGUGGGAAACGAUGUGGGAAGGCACAGACAGCCAGGAUGUUGGCUUAGAAGCAGCCAUCAUUUAAAGAAAGCGUAAUAGCUCACUGGUCGAGUCGGCCUGCGCGGAAGAUGUAACGGGGCUAAACCAUGCACCGAAGCUGCGGCAGCGACACUAUGUGUUGUUGGGUAGGGAGCGUUCUGUAAGCCUGCGAAGGUGUGCUGUGAGGCAUGCUGGAGGUAUCAGAAGUGCGAAUGCUGACAUAAGUAACGAUAAAGCGGGUGAAAAGCCCGCUCGCCGGAAGACCAAGGGUUCCUGUCCAACGUUAAUCGGGGCAGGGUGAGUCGACCCCUAAGGCGAGGCCGAAAGGCGUAGUCGAUGGGAAACAGGUUAAUAUUCCUGUACUUGGUGUUACUGCGAAGGGGGACGGAGAAGGCUAUGUUAGCCGGGCGACGGUUGUCCCGGUUUAAGCAUGUAGGCUGAUUAUCCAGGCAAAUCCGGAUAAUCAAGGCUGAGGUGUGAUGACGAGGCACUACGGUGCUGAAGUAACAAAUGCCCUGCUUCCAGGAAAAGCCUCUAAGCAUCAGGUAACAUCAAAUCGUACCCCAAACCGACACAGGUGGUCAGGUAGAGAAUACCAAGGCGCUUGAGAGAACUCGGGUGAAGGAACUAGGCAAAAUGGUGCCGUAACUUCGGGAGAAGGCACGCUGGUGUGUAGGUGAAGCCCCUGCGGGUGGAGCUGAGACCAGUCGAAGAUACCAGCUGGCUGCAACUGUUUAUUAAAAACACAGCACUGUGCAAACACGAAAGUGGACGUAUACGGUGUGACGCCUGCCCGGUGCCGGAAGGUUAAUUGAUGGGGUUAUCCGUAAGGAGAAGCUCUUGAUCGAAGCCCCGGUAAACGGCGGCCGUAACUAUAACGGUCCUAAGGUAGCGAAAUUCCUUGUCGGGUAAGUUCCGACCUGCACGAAUGGCGUAAUGAUGGCCAGGCUGUCUCCACCCGAGACUCAGUGAAAUUGAACUCGCUGUGAAGAUGCAGUGUACCCGCGGCAAGACGGAAAGACCCCGUGAACCUUUACUAUAGCUUGACACUGAACAUUGAGCCUUGAUGUGUAGGAUAGGUGGGAGGCUUUGAAGCGUGGACGCCAGUCUGCGUGGAGCCAACCUUGAAAUACCACCCUUUAAUGUUUGAUGUUCUAACGUUGGCCCCUGACCGGGGUUGCGGACAGUGUCUGGUGGGUAGUUUGACUGGGGCGGUCUCCUCCCAAAGCGUAACGGAGGAGCACGAAGGUUAGCUAAUCCUGGUCGGACAUCAGGAGGUUAGUGCAAUGGCAUAAGCUAGCUUGACUGCGAGCGUGACGGCGCGAGCAGGUGCGAAAGCAGGUCAUAGUGAUCCGGUGGUUCUGAAUGGAAGGGCCAUCGCUCAACGGAUAAAAGGUACUCCGGGGAUAACAGGCUGAUACCGCCCAAGAGUUCAUAUCGACGGCGGUGUUUGGCACCUCGAUGUCGGCUCAUCACAUCCUGGGGCUGAAGUAGGUCCCAAGGGUAUGGCUGUUCGCCAUUUAAAGUGGUACGCGAGCUGGGUUUAGAACGUCGUGAGACAGUUCGGUCCCUAUCUGCCGUGGGCGCUGGAGAAUUGAGGGGCUGCUCCUAGUACGAGAGGACCGGAGUGGACGCAUCACUGGUGUUCGGGUUGUCAUGCCAAUGGCACUGCCCGGUAGCUAAAUGCGGAAGAGAUAAGUGCUGAAAGCAUCUAAGCACGAAACUUGCCCCGAGAUGAGUUCUCCUGAGACUUUAAGUCUCCUGAAGGAACGUUGAAGACGACGACGUUGAUAGGCCGGGUGUGUAAGCGCAGCGAUGCGUUGAGCUAACCGGUACUAAUGAACCGUGAGGCUUAACCUU